GUAGGUGGCAAGCGUUGUCCGGAAUUAUUGGGCGUAAAGCGCGCGCAGGCGGUUCUUUAAGUCUGAUGUGAAAGCCCACGGCUCAACCGUGGAGGGUCAUUGGGAACUGGAGAACUUGAGUACAGAAGAGGAAAGCGGAAUUCCACGUGUAGCGGUGAAAUGCGUAGAGAUGUGGAGGAACACCAGUGGCGAAGGCGGCUUUCUGGUCUGUAACUGACGCUGAGGCGCGAAAGCGUGGGGAGCAAACAGGGAUUAGAUACCCUGGUAGUCCACGCCGUAAACGAUGAGUGCUAAGUGUUAGGGGGGUUUUCCGCCCCCUUAGUGCUGCAGCUAACGCAUUAAGCACUCCGCCUGGGGAUACGGCCGCAAGGCUG
RNAcentral lists this ribosomal RNA (374 nucleotides) under uncultured organism. RNAcentral describes it as "partial 16S ribosomal RNA". It matches the Rfam family "Bacterial small subunit ribosomal RNA", at positions 527 to 896 of the family's 1533-position model. The record is from RNAcentral.